RNAcentral lists this small nuclear RNA (107 nucleotides) under Canis lupus familiaris (dog). Lineage: Eukaryota; Metazoa; Chordata; Mammalia; Carnivora; Canidae. The record is from RNAcentral.
GUGCUUGCUUCAGCAGCACAUACACUAAGAUUUUAACACUAUAGAGAAGAUUAGCAUGGCCUCUGUGCAAGGAUGACACACAAAUUCGUGAAGUAUUCCAUAUUUUU